GACGAACGCUGGCGGCGUGCUUAACACAUGCAAGUCGAACGGAAAGGCCCUGCUUUUGUGGGGUGCUCGAGUGGCGAACGGGUGAGUAACACGUGAGUAACCUGCCCUUGACUUUGGGAUAACUUCAGGAAACUAGGGCUAAUACCGGAUAGGAGCUCCUGCUGCAUGGUGGGGGUUGGAAAGUUUCGGCGGUUGGGGAUGGACUCGCGGCUUAUCAGCUUGUUGGUGUGGUAGUGGCGUACCAAGGCUUUGACGGGGAGCCGGCCUGAGAGGGUGACCGGCCACAGUGGGACUGAGAUACGGCCCAGACUCCUACGGGAGGCAGCAGUGGGGAAUAUUGCACAAUGGGCGGAAGCCUGAUGCAGCAACGCCGCGUGCGGGAUGACGGCCUUCGGGUUGUAAACCGCUUGCGCCUGUGACGAAGCGUGAGUGACGGUAAUGGGUAAAGAAGCACCGGCUAACUACGUG
RNAcentral lists this ribosomal RNA (468 nucleotides) under uncultured bacterium. RNAcentral's name for it is "partial 16S ribosomal RNA". It matches the Rfam family "Bacterial small subunit ribosomal RNA", at positions 28 to 507 of the family's 1533-position model. The record is from RNAcentral.